This 430-nucleotide ribosomal RNA is filed under the name bacterium. RNAcentral describes it as "partial 16S ribosomal RNA". It matches the Rfam family "Bacterial small subunit ribosomal RNA", at positions 355 to 776 of the family's 1533-position model. The record is from RNAcentral.
UGGGGAAUAUUGGACAAUGGGCGAAAGCCUGAUCCAGCCAUGCCGCGUGUGUGAAGAAGGCCUUUUGGUUGUAAAGCACUUUAAGCGAGGAGGAGGCUACUUGGAUUAAUACUCUAGGAUAGUGGACGUUACUCGCAGAAUAAGCACCGGCUAACUCUGUGCCAGCAGCCGCGGUAAUACAGAGGGUGCGAGCGUUAAUCGGAUUUACUGGGCGUAAAGCGCGCGUAGGCGGCUUUUUAAGUCGGAUGUGAAAUCCCUGAGCUUAAAUUAGGAAUUGCAUUCGAUACUGGGACGCUAGAGUAUGGGAGAGGAUGGUAGAAUUCCAGGUGUAGCGGUGAAAUGCGUAGAGAUCUGGAGGAAUACCGAUGGCGAAGGCAGCCAUCUGGCCUAAUACUGACGCUGAGGUACGAAAGCAUGGGGAGCAAACAGG